AUCCCCAGUCUGUGUGAUCUGGUCCACCGUUGUCACUAAUAUGCUGUCUCUCUGACCUCAUGUGUUCUCACUCUUCCCCUCAUUUAUUCCACUACAGCCACACUAUCAUCUUUGCUCUUCCGAACGUGCCAAGCCCAAGGCUUAGACUUUUAUAAGACUAUAUUCAGGCUGGGUGCGGUGGCUAACGCCUGUAAUCCCAGCACUUUGGGAGGCUGAGGCGGGUGGAUCACCUGAGGUCAGGAGUUCGAGACCAGCCUGGUCAACAUGGUG
This 270-nucleotide long non-coding RNA is filed under the name Pan troglodytes (chimpanzee). Its description in RNAcentral is "long non-coding RNA NONPTRT005397". The record is from RNAcentral. Lineage: Eukaryota; Metazoa; Chordata; Mammalia; Primates; Hominidae.